UCGGGAAUUUUGCACAAUGGCCGAAAGGCUGAUGCAGCGACGCCGCGUGAAGGAAGAAGGCUUUCGGGUUGUAAACUUCUUUUUAUCAAGAGGCCCCGCAAGGGGAUACAGUAUUGGUAGAAUAAGUCACGGCUAACUACGUGCCAGCAACCGCGGUAAUACGUAGGUGGCAAACGUUAUCCGGAAUUACUGGGUGUAAAGCGUUCGUAGGUUUUUUGGUAGGUCUCUGAUUAAAUACGUAAGCUUAACUUACGUCAGGUUGGGGAAACCACCAGAAUAGAAGGGUAUCGAGGUAAGUGGAAUUUGCGGUGUAGCAGUGAAAUGCGUUGAUAUCGCAAGGAACACCAAUGGCGAAGGCAGCUUACUAGGUACUACUUGACGCUGAGGAACGAAAGCGUGGGGAGCAAACGGG
Molecule: ribosomal RNA, 412 nt
Filed under: uncultured bacterium
Lineage: Bacteria
Description: bacterial SSU rRNA
Rfam family: Bacterial small subunit ribosomal RNA
Source: RNAcentral